Molecule: ribosomal RNA, 392 nt
Filed under: uncultured bacterium
Lineage: Bacteria
Description: partial 16S ribosomal RNA
Rfam family: Bacterial small subunit ribosomal RNA
Source: RNAcentral
AUACGUAGGUGGCAAGCGUUAUCCGGAAUUAUUGGGCGUAAAGAGGGAGCAGGCGGCAGCAAGGGUCUGUGGUGAAAGCCUGAAGCUUAACUUCAGUAAGCCAUAGAAACCAGGCAGCUAGAGUGCAGGAGAGGAUCGUGGAAUUCCAUGUGUAGCGGUGAAAUGCGUAGAUAUAUGGAGGAACACCAGUGGCGAAGGCGACGGUCUGGCCUGCAACUGGCCCUCAGGCCCGAAAGGGUGGGGAGCAAAUAGGAUUAGAUACCCUAGUAGUCCACGCCGUAAACGAUGAGUACUAAGUGUUGGAUGUCAAAGUUCAGUGCUGCAGUUAACGCAAUAAGUACUCCGCCUGAGUAGUACGUUCGCAAGAAUGAAACUCAAAUGAAUUGGCGGGG